Molecule: long non-coding RNA, 990 nt
Organism: Canis lupus familiaris (dog)
Lineage: Eukaryota; Metazoa; Chordata; Mammalia; Carnivora; Canidae
Exons: 5
Source: RefSeq, a predicted model, not a curated record
GAAUGAGAUUUCUUCUGCAGAACCCAAGCCCAAGUACAAGUCUGUUCCCUAAAAUGUCGGAGCCUAUAUCUUCCUUCAUUAUGCUAAAAUCCUAACUGGUCGAGUCCUCAGAAUUGAAUAAAGAUGGCCCCAUUUUAUCCUGCAAUUCCAAGGCCUUCAUAACUCUUUUUUCUAUGUCCUAGAGCCUGGGAUCUUGCUCAGAUCCAUGCCUUGCUCAAUUCAUAAACAGAACUAUAUGAGCCCAUAUACCAAGUUCCAUAACCAGGAUACACAGGAAUAGGUGUGAAUAAAGAACUCAAAGACCUCCCUAAAUAUUCUUGAGGAAAAAAGAAACUUCAUUCCAAAGCCAUAAUAUAGAGAGGGAGAUAAAGGAGUAACUUCAUAGUGGAGAAAUCUGACAAACACUGACUCAGCCAGCAAUGAAGAAAGAAGAACCUAGACUUAAGUCACACUACACUUUCUAACAAGUAAAACAACCAUCACUAUCUUACUUCGGAAGCAGAAGAAAAACAGCAUGAAAGAUGUGGGUGUUGGAGCUGCUCUGCUCUCUGGUGGAUGUUGACAGCAUGGCUGCAAACAUACAGCAGCACCAAAAGAGACAGCUACACAGCAUGGAACAGAAAAUUUAACCACACAGCCAUCAUAGACAGAACUAAAGCACUGAUCUAUAUUUUCUUUAAAACUUGCUAGCAAGAAACGCCAUCAGUGGAAGAUGUAUUGAAAAGCUGAAGGUCUAUUAAGGGAGUAUGGGACAGCUGCAUACAUUCUGUAUAAGGCCAUGGAAAUGACACAGCAAUACCCCAUCUGUGGCUUUGGUUCACAGAGCUUUGAAUAAAAAUUCAAGAUCAAACUUCACUUGUUAAGGAAAAGAAGACUCCUAAUAGAAAGCUAGUAUUAAUAGUCUUAUAUAUAAAGGUCUGUUACUGUUAGCUUUCUUCUUAAAAUACAUUGUGGGAUGUCUAUGCCUUUAAUAAAUACUAAUACUACGUA